UCCCUUCGGGGACAAAGUGACAGGUGGUGCAUGGUUGUCGUCAGCUCGUGUCGUGAGAUGUUGGGUUAAGUCCCGCAACGAGCGCAACCCUUAUUGUUAGUUGCCAUCAUUUAGUUGGGCACUCUAGCGAGACUGCCGGUGACAAACCGGAGGAAGGUGGGGAUGACGUCAAAUCAUCAUGCCCCUUAUGACCUGGGCUACACACGUGCUACAAUGGGAAGUACAACGAGUCGCUAGACCGCGAGGUCAUGCA
This 253-nucleotide ribosomal RNA is filed under the name Enterococcus faecalis. RNAcentral describes it as "partial 16S ribosomal RNA". It matches the Rfam family "Bacterial small subunit ribosomal RNA", at positions 1014 to 1269 of the family's 1533-position model. RNAcentral also lists the same sequence under 1 other name. Lineage: Bacteria; Bacillati; Bacillota; Bacilli; Lactobacillales; Enterococcaceae. The record is from RNAcentral.